GAUGAACGCUGGCGGCGUGCCUAAUACAUGCAAGUCGAGCGAACGGACGUGAAGCUUGCUUUUCUGAUGUUAGCGGCGGACGGGUGAGUAACACGUGGGUAACCUACCUAUAAGACUGGGAUAACUUCGGGAAACCGGCGCUAAUACCGGAUAAUAUUUUGAACCACAUGGUUCAAAAGUGAAAGACGGUCUUGCUGUCACUUAUAGAUGGAUCCGCGCUGCGUUACCUAGUUGGUAAGGUAACGCCUUACCAAGGCAACGAUACAUAGCCAACCUAAGAGGGUGAUCGGCCACACGGGAACUGGGACACGGGCCAGACUCCGACGGUAGGCAGCAGUAGGGAAUCUUCCGCAAUGGGGGAAAGCAUAACGGGGCAACGCCGCGUGGGUGAUGAAGGUUUUGGAUUCGUAAAACUCUGUUGUAAGGGAAAAACAUAUGGGUAAGGAACUGUGCACAUCGUGACGGUACCUAAUCAGAAAGCCACGGCUAACUACGUG
RNAcentral lists this ribosomal RNA (497 nucleotides) under uncultured bacterium. Its description in RNAcentral is "partial 16S ribosomal RNA". It matches the Rfam family "Bacterial small subunit ribosomal RNA", at positions 28 to 507 of the family's 1533-position model. The record is from RNAcentral.